Molecule: ribosomal RNA, 396 nt
Filed under: Hemanthias leptus (longtail bass)
Lineage: Eukaryota; Metazoa; Chordata; Actinopteri; Perciformes; Anthiadidae
Description: partial 12S ribosomal RNA
Rfam family: Bacterial small subunit ribosomal RNA
Source: RNAcentral
UGGGAUUAGAUACCCCACUAUGCCUAGCCCUAAACAUUGAUAGACCAUUACAACCCCUAUCCGCCCGGGUACUACGAGUGGUAACUUGAAACCCAAAGGACUUGGCGGUGCUUUAGACCCCCCUAGAGGAGCCUGUCCUAGAACCGAUAAUCCCCGUUCAACCUUACCUUACCUUGCUUAUCAGCCUAUAUACCGCCGUCGAAAGCUUACCCUUUGAAGGCCCAAUCGUGAGCUAACCCAGUAGAACUCCUUAUGUCAGGUCGAGGUGUAGUAUAUGGUACAGGAAAGAGAUGGGCUACAUUUACUGGCCCAGUAAAUACGGAUAAUUCAGUGAAACCUGAAUUUGAAGGAGGAUUUAGUAGUAAGCAGGGAGCAGAGUGCCCUGCUGAACUUGGC